GGGGAAUAUUGGACAAUGGGGGAAACCCUGAUCCAGCAAUGCCGCGUGAGUGAAGAAGGCCUUAGGGUUGUAAAGCUCUUUCGCCCGCGAAGAUAAUGACGGUAGCGGGAGAAGAAGCCCCGGCUAACUCCGUGCCAGCAGCCGCGGUAAUACGGAGGGGGCUAGCGUUGUUCGGAAUUACUGGGCGUAAAGCGUACGUAGGCGGAUGCGCAAGUUGGGGGUGAAAUCCCGGGGCUUAACCUCGGAAUUGCCCUCAAAACUGCACGUCUUGAGACCGAGAGAGGUCAGGGGAACUCCUAGUGUAGAGGUGAAAUUCGUAGAUAUUAGGAAGAACACCAGUGGCGAAGGCGCCUUACUGGCUCGGUACUGACGCUGAGGUACGAAAGCGUGGGGAGCAAACA
Molecule: ribosomal RNA, 401 nt
Filed under: uncultured bacterium
Lineage: Bacteria
Description: bacterial SSU rRNA
Rfam family: Bacterial small subunit ribosomal RNA
Source: RNAcentral